Long non-coding RNA from Drosophila miranda, 2374 nucleotides. RefSeq lists it as uncharacterized. The record is from RefSeq and is a predicted model, not a curated record. Lineage: Eukaryota; Metazoa; Arthropoda; Insecta; Diptera; Drosophilidae. The transcript is spliced from 3 exons.
UGUCAGUUCAUACAUCGAAUAUGUACCAAACGAAUUUACAGCGUACGCUCCCAGGUCUUCGGUUGCUGCAUUCGCGCUUUUUUUCAGACGCCUCUGGUAGGGUUGCCGCUUUUUUCAAAUUUGUGUAGAUGACAGCUACGACCAGUGAUACGGUAUCGAACGUUGACAGUUCGUAAUAUUUAUAUCGUGAUAGUUUUUGCCAAAAUUUAUUGAUAUUUUCUAUCAAAUAUAAUUCCAUAAAGACUGCAAGUUCAAGGCACACAAGACUAGAAGCAUUUCCCAUACAAAAUAUAGAUGUGUCAGUUCAUACAUCGAAUAUGUACCAAACGAAUUUACAGCGUACGCUCCCAGGUCUUCGGUUGCUGCAUUCGCGCUUUUUUUCAGACGCCUCUGGUAGGGUUGCCGCUUUUUUCAAAUUUGUGUAGAUGACAGCUACGACCAGUGAUACGGUAUCGAACGUUGACAGUUCGUAAUAUUUAUAUCGUGAUAGUUUUUGCCAAAAUUUAUUGAUAUUUUCUAUCAAAUAUAAUUCCAUAAAGACUGCAAGUUCAAGGCACACAAGACUAGAAGCAUUUCCCAUACAAAAUAUAGAUGUGUCAGUACUGCGUUCAGUGUGACUGUAUCCCACUGUAUUGUGUGCGCCACUCUUUGUUUUUUUUUUCCCUCUGAGAGGUUGUGGGGUUGGUGCAUCGCUCUGUGGAAAAGAGGAACUUGCGUACAAAAUACAAAUUGAAACAUUUGCUUUUAAAUAUGAAGUGAUAUAGGUCCUACUAUAAGACGCAGAGAAACCUGUUUUUAAUUGGUGUUUUUAGCAAAUAAGCAAAAGUGAACGUGGAGUGCAACUGCAGUUAUAUAAAAUCGCGUUACUGUAACUGCACUUUUACAGUAAGUUUCCUUUUAUCUUAGUGCCCACCACCGCCAUUGCCUAUGCCUCCCCUCGCCCCGCGAAUCCUAGUUCCUAUAAUUUUGCGUCGUUCGAUUGUUGUUUCUCCGCGUUCCUGCGCGUUGGCUGGCUGCGCGCUGUUGCAGUUUCUCAGCAAACGCACUAGUUGCCUUUCCUCCCCUGUCCCACACUUCUGCACUACGUCAUACUCCGAAUUCACUUUUGUCUCCUAUUUAUAGAGGCAGAGAUAAACUGCACUCUACGAAACGCCAUGGAAUCAGAGAGAAUUAGAGAACAAAAGCGUCCACGCGGGUGGGUGAUCAGAUAGAUGGUGUGUGUGCUCGCCAUAUCAAGGUGGGGCCUAUGGCGUUAUCAGUGCCAAACAACAACCCGUCGUAAAUAAGUGCGAAUUUGGAGAGUGCCAAUCAGGUUGGGAUCAACCGCAACAACAGCUGUUCUUCGGUGUAAUUCUAUUCCACACAUACAUAUGUAUGUAUACAUGAGCAUGUAUGUUUGCUCUGGGAAGCGAUCAAACUUCUAGCUGGCGUGGCUAUGCGGUCUAGUCGUUUGGACAUUUCUCAUGCGGUUUUAGGUAGGGACGACGAUCGCGCUCUCACUUCGAUCGUGUGUUCGAAUCCCUCCCGAGCUUGUUGGCUUCUUCGACGAAAACUCACGUUAAUUAGCCGUUACUCCUUGGGCUACAUUAACUUUUUCUUUUUUUUCUCCCAUUUUGUUGGUUUUUCCAGUUAGGGUUUUCCCAUAUCAUGAUAUUUGCAGUGUGAUAUCAUCGCAUUCAAAUAUAACGUCAAUUGUUUAGUUUCUCUCUAUCUCUCCGUUUCUCUCUGUGUGUGUGUGUGUGUGUGUAUCUGCGCCUCUAACUGGUGACGUAAUUUGAAUCUGCUGCAAUCGCCUUUCUUGUUUUGGUCUUAUAAGAAAUGUGUAUGGCUGCGAAAACCGGUUCCCAAUAGUUUACUUUUGUUUUCGGAACUGCGCCGCACCAAAACAAACCUCCAUCUGCUGCUGCUCCCACCCUAACACCAUUCCAUAUCACAUCAUUGAAAUGUGAGUUCAAGAUGCAGCUGGCUGGCUGGAUAAGUCGGUUGGUUGAAGGCGACCAUCGACCGUGUCUGGCCAUCCAUAUCAAUGCGAAUCGCGGUGUUGUCAACACAAUAAAGGUGUUGAAAGGAUUAAACUCUGUAUUCUUCCCAUGAUUGUGCAGAAGAUUACUUCCAUUUAGGGGUCAACAAAUCACACUUCGAACCGUAUUUUCAACAUUCCUCUGAUAGAGACAAUCAGCAUUGCCCAAAUAUGAGAGUGUGUUUCUUUAUGGGCAGUGUAACCACUGGAAUCAACGGCCUAUAGUGGACAACGGUUAGUAGGACAUAUGUUUUCCUCAGAGGUCGACCAGCACGCUAUCAUUCCGGCUACUGUCUCGUCGGCAAAAGGGUGGUGUUCUUUUUAUUUGUCUAUUCUGAGACCUACGAUAUUUGU